This 459-nucleotide ribosomal RNA is filed under the name uncultured bacterium. Its description in RNAcentral is "partial 16S ribosomal RNA". It matches the Rfam family "Bacterial small subunit ribosomal RNA", at positions 338 to 795 of the family's 1533-position model. The record is from RNAcentral.
CCUACGGGUGGCAGCAGUGAGGAAUAUUGGUCAAUGGACGGGAGCCUGAACCAGCCAAGUAGCGUGCAGGAUGACUGCCCUACGGGUUGUAAACCUCUUUUGUAUGGGGAUAAAAUGCUCCACUUGUGGGGUUCUGCAGGUACCAUCCGAAUAAGGCCCGGCUAAUUCCGUGCCAGCAGCCGCGGUAAUACGGAAGGUCCGAGCGUUAUCCGGAUUUAUUGGGUUAAAAGGGUGCGCAGGCGGUAGAUAAAGUCAGCGGUAAAAUUCCGAGGCUCAACCUCUGCGCGCCGUUGAAACUGGCUGUCUAGAGUUGGUGAGAAGUAUGCGGAAUGCGCGGUGUAGCGGUGAAAUGCAUAGAUAUCACGCAGAACUCCGAUUGCGAAGGCAGCAUACCGGCGCUCAACUGACGCUCAUGCACGAAAGUGUGGGUAUCGAACAGGAUUAGAUACCCGGGUAGUC